Molecule: non-coding RNA, 45 nt
Filed under: Schistosoma mattheei
Lineage: Eukaryota; Metazoa; Platyhelminthes; Trematoda; Strigeidida; Schistosomatidae
Source: RNAcentral
AUCCAGCUGACGAGUCCUAAAUAGGACGAAACUUGAGUCCUAAAU